This 672-nucleotide ribosomal RNA is filed under the name Bacillus anthracis (anthrax bacterium). RNAcentral's name for it is "bacterial SSU rRNA". It matches the Rfam family "Bacterial small subunit ribosomal RNA", at positions 48 to 700 of the family's 1533-position model. Lineage: Bacteria; Bacillati; Bacillota; Bacilli; Caryophanales; Bacillaceae. The record is from RNAcentral.
GCUAUACAUGCAAGUCGAGCGAAUGGAUUAAGAGCUUGCUCUUAUGAAGUUAGCGGCGGACGGGUGAGUAACACGUGGGUAACCUGCCCAUAAGACUGGGAUAACUCCGGGAAACCGGGGCUAAUACCGGAUAACAUUUUGAACUGCAUGGUUCGAAAUUGAAAGGCGGCUUCGGCUGUCACUUAUGGAUGGACCCGCGUCGCAUUAGCUAGUUGGUGAGGUAACGGCUCACCAAGGCAACGAUGCGUAGCCGACCUGAGAGGGUGAUCGGCCACACUGGGACUGAGACACGGCCCAGACUCCUACGGGAGGCAGCAGUAGGGAAUCUUCCGCAAUGGACGAAAGUCUGACGGAGCAACGCCGCGUGAGUGAUGAAGGCUUUCGGGUCGUAAAACUCUGUUGUUAGGGAAGAACAAGUGCUAGUUGAAUAAGCUGGCACCUUGACGGUACCUAACCAGAAAGCCACGGCUAACUACGUGCCAGCAGCCGCGGUAAUACGUAGGUGGCAAGCGUUAUCCGGAAUUAUUGGGCGUAAAGCGCGCGCAGGUGGUUUCUUAAGUCUGAUGUGAAAGCCCACGGCUCAACCGUGGAGGGUCAUUGGAAACUGGGAGACUUGAGUGCAGAAGAGGAAAGUGGAAUUCCAUGUGUAGCGGUGAAAUGCGUAGAGAUAUG